RNAcentral lists this long non-coding RNA (554 nucleotides) under Numida meleagris (helmeted guineafowl). Its description in RNAcentral is "lncRNA (ENSNMEG00000010311.1)". The record is from RNAcentral. Lineage: Eukaryota; Metazoa; Chordata; Aves; Galliformes; Numididae.
AAAAUACCUUAGCAUGAAGAAAGAACUGUAAUAAAACAGUAAGAAGAAGAGAUAAACUGAGACCUAUAUCAACAGAAAAAAAAUGACAUCUCUUUCCAUUUACUGCAGGUGCUGUGUUUGACAACUCGUAGCCUCUGGAAGAUGUUUUUUUGAAGGCAAUCUGUUCCUAUCCUUAAUUAGAAAAGGAACAACAGAUCCCCAGGUGCCAGUGGCUUGACCGAAAGCUAUCUGAGAUAUCCUCAAAAUGGAGUGACUUCAUGUUAACUGGAUAGAAAAGCUCCAGCUUGGUACAGUCAAAAGAGAGCUGUCCUACUUAUACUUGCAGUCAGUUUCUAAUCAACAUCUCUAUCAAGUUUUCACAGAAAGCAGCAAUCAGGUAUUUUUUUCUGUAUUGAAAUCAGUUGCCAGCAGUAGCUUAGUAUCUUUUUAAGCUAGUGGCUUUAAGGCAGCAGAGAGAAAGACAGAGAUGGUAAAACAACAAAAGGCUGCCUUGCCAUCCAUCACAUGUAGAUAAUAUGGCAAGUGUGGCUGCACACUAUUGUGAAGCUUUUCUG